GCCCAGCUUGCCCUGCCAGACAAAAGAUCUUCGGAGUGUCUCCCCAGUGCUCAUGGCCGCAAAAUAACUUAGAAGGGGGGAAACGAAACUAGGUUUCAGCAAGUGAAAAUCGAACUUCAAAUACUAAUUCAAUGGCAGGUUCUACUGGUGGCACCGGUUCUUCCAGUUCCUCACCGGUCCCUCCGACUCCUAAAAUUCCCGGCUCCUAAAAUUCUAUUGGCUAAGCCUGGACUGGUUACCCCUAGACCGGUGGUAGGCAAAUUUGGACGCGGCGGUGUUUGGACGCGGCGGUGCUGAAGACGAAACGGUGCCACAUCGGUCUCGUCUGCCUGCAAUUGGGUCUCUCAAUCUCCUCUCUGAUUCCUGGGAAUUCCACAUUGAUCGCUUUCUCCCUUUUCUGACUGAGAAUAUAGAUUUCACUGUGAUUGGGGUAAUUGGACCACCUGGGGUUGGCAAGUCCACCAUCAUGAAUGAGCUAUACGGUUUUGAUGCGGGUUCACCCGGAAUGUUGCCACCAUUUAGUAGACAGUCAGAAGAUAACAGAGCAAUGGCAAGACAUUGUAGCGUAGGCAUUGAACCAAGGAUAUCUGCUGAGCAGCUUAUACUUCUAGAUACCCAGUGAAUUAUCACUAGUUUCUUCAAAAUUUGUUUAAGUGAUUUAGGCAAACCAAAAUUCACAACAUAGGGGCAACGCUUGUGGAGGUGGAAAAAUUUGGCACUAAGUAUUAUAAGGGACUUGAAG
RNAcentral lists this unclassified non-coding RNA (742 nucleotides) under Hevea brasiliensis (rubber tree). The record is from RNAcentral. Lineage: Eukaryota; Viridiplantae; Streptophyta; Magnoliopsida; Malpighiales; Euphorbiaceae.